This 240-nucleotide ribosomal RNA is filed under the name uncultured bacterium. Its description in RNAcentral is "partial 16S ribosomal RNA". It matches the Rfam family "Bacterial small subunit ribosomal RNA", at positions 15 to 244 of the family's 1533-position model. The record is from RNAcentral.
GAUCAUGGCUCAGGACGAACGCUAGCUACAGGCUUAACACAUGCAAGUCGAGGGGAAACGACAUCGAAAGCUUGCUUUUGACGGGCGUCGACCGGCGCACGGGUGAGUAACGCGUAUCCAACCUGCCCAUCACUUGGGAAUAACCUUGCGAAAGUAAGACUAAUGCCCAAUGACAUCCCACGAAGGCAUCCGAAUGGGAUUAAAGAUUUAUCGGUGAUGGAUGGGGAUGCGUCUGAUUAG